GAGCUCAACGAGAACAGAAA
Molecule: small nuclear RNA, 20 nt
Filed under: Arabidopsis thaliana (thale cress)
Lineage: Eukaryota; Viridiplantae; Streptophyta; Magnoliopsida; Brassicales; Brassicaceae
Description: snRNA_06399
Source: RNAcentral